Molecule: RNase P RNA, 391 nt
Filed under: Chloroflexota bacterium
Lineage: Bacteria; Bacillati; Chloroflexota
Description: Chloroflexi bacterium RNase P RNA component class A
Rfam family: Bacterial RNase P class A
About the family: Ribonuclease P (RNase P) is a ubiquitous endoribonuclease, found in archaea, bacteria and eukarya as well as chloroplasts and mitochondria. Its best characterised activity is the generation of mature 5'-ends of tRNAs by cleaving the 5'-leader elements of precursor-tRNAs. Cellular RNase Ps are ribonucleoproteins.
Source: RNAcentral
CAGGUCAGCCGGGUGAUCGCGGUCUGGUCGUAGCCAGGCUGAGGAAAGUCCGCACUCCACAGAGCACGGUGCCGGCUAACAGCCGGGCGGGGUAACCCGACGGAAAGUGCCACAGAGAUGUGUAUUGCCGACGGCCGCGUAAGCGGUUAGGGCGAGGGUGAAACGGUGGUGUAAGAGACCACCGGCAGCGGCAGUAAUGUCGCUGGCCAGGCAAACCCCACCGGGAGCAAGGCCAAGCAGGGCGGAACAUGGCCGGAAACGGCCGUGUACGGGGCUGCUCGUUCCGUCUGACGCCCGGGUAGGCCGCAUGAGGGUGUCGGUAACGGCACUCCCAGAUAGAUGAUCACCACCCGUAAGGGGACAGAAUGCGGCUUACAGGCUGGCCUGGUAU